Molecule: microRNA precursor, 146 nt
Filed under: Mus musculus (house mouse)
Lineage: Eukaryota; Metazoa; Chordata; Mammalia; Rodentia; Muridae
Description: mir-3473 microRNA precursor family
Rfam family: mir-3473 microRNA precursor family
Source: Rfam by way of RNAcentral
ACCACUGAGCCAUCUCUCCAGCCCUGUUUUUAAUUUCUUAAAUUAUAUGUAUGUACCAGGAGGAACAACUGCAAUGUAUGAGAAUUUUUUUUUUAAUGUUUUUUUAAAAAGAUGGGCAUGUUGGGCUGGAGAGAUGGCUCAGUGGU